GGCGGCGGUCUCUUCCCUGCCGCCCGCCCCGCUGCUUGUUGCCUCCUUAGGAGGCACGGAAAAUGCCAGGAGCUAGUUGUUAGUGCCUGGAGUCAGCUUGAGAUUGGGCCUCCCCUACCAACCAUUCCCCACCCAGGUAAAAGCAAUUUGGGAUUCUUUUGAAGACCUACUGAGUGGCGCUUCAGAGAUCCUGUGUUAUAGGUUUUGUUCUAAUAUCAUUUGAAAAGAUUCUUUCCCAUGUCAAAAGUCAAUUUACCAGCCAGGUGUGGGGGCAUGUGCUUGUAUGGCUAGCACUGGGGAG
Molecule: long non-coding RNA, 301 nt
Filed under: Cricetulus griseus (Chinese hamster)
Lineage: Eukaryota; Metazoa; Chordata; Mammalia; Rodentia; Cricetidae
Description: lncRNA (ENSCGRG00015030770.1)
Source: RNAcentral